RNAcentral lists this ribosomal RNA (446 nucleotides) under uncultured bacterium. RNAcentral describes it as "bacterial SSU rRNA". It matches the Rfam family "Bacterial small subunit ribosomal RNA", at positions 329 to 792 of the family's 1533-position model. The record is from RNAcentral.
UACCAGACUCCUACGGGAGGCAGCAGUGGGGAAUAUUGCACAAUGGGGGAAACCCUGAUGCAGCGACGCCGCGUGAGCGAUGAAGUAUUUCGGUAUGUAAAGCUCUAUCAGCAGGGAAGAAAAUGACGGUACCUGACUAAGAAGCCCCGGCUAACUACGUGCCAGCAGCCGCGGUAAUACGUAGGGGGCAAGCGUUAUCCGGAUUUACUGGGUGUAAAGGGAGCGUAGACGGCUGUGCAAGCCAGAUGUGAAAGCCCGGGGCUCAACCCCGGGACUGCAUUUGGAACUGUGUGGCUGGAGUGUCGGAGAGGCAGGCGGAAUUCCUAGUGUAGCGGUGAAAUGCGUAGAUAUUAGGAGGAACACCAGUGGCGAAGGCGGCCUGCUGGACGAUGACUGACGUUGAGGCUCGAAAGCGUGGGGAGCGAACAGGAUUAGAUACCCUCGUA